UUUACACGCCCCAGCCGGCGACCGGUUCCAUCUGGCUCGGGCCACUCUGACACCUUUAGUUUCGGCAAGGGAUAUUGGGGUGGCGAAGGGGAGGCGGGGGCCCGAAGGCUUCGGAAAACGAUGGGGGAGGGGGCAGAGGAUACCCGUCGAAGCCCCCCCCUCCCCCAACAUUUCGAUAUUGGAAUCACUUUCCUUCUUCCUCGGGCCAGCCUUUGCUCUGUCCCCUCAGGUCAACUCAAGGUAGACAGUGUGGCGACUGGAGAGGUCGGGGAACAAGCUUUGUUUCAGCUAAGGGGAAAACAAGCGUUCACAGGAGUCCCCUGACACCUCCCACUCGGAAGAUAGCUAACGGGGGUCCUGCCAACCCUUCCCAUCCAACUUCCAUCUGAAAAGGAUUUUCUGCUAAAGUUGGGUCCAUGGCCAUCCAGCACCUGUAAGGCCGGCAGGAGCGUCUGCCCUCUACUCAGUUAAAGCCUGAAGUCGUUUCCUUUCGAUGGCCCUUAGGAGGCCCAAAAGAGGGGCGACAGAACAUGAUGUUGACACGGGCUGGGCGCCCCCAGAAGCCCGGGAACAAACGUUUCUACUUUCCAGGUCCACUGGUGUUUGGUGUACCCAUGUGACUAAUUUGUCCAAAGAGAGGAUUAAAGUCCACUCCUUUUCUUUUGGGGAAGGCAGAAAUUGGAGCAGAAAAAUGAAUACUAAAAUCAAGACUAAAUUAAAAAAAAUUAAAAAUCAGACUGAAACCAGAGGCAUCAAUGUUUAAAAGACACACAAAAAAGGAAGUGGUGUGGGACUUAUCUCAUUCGAGGAGAAGUAGAAAUUCUUCAGAAGGGAAUUGGAGCUUCUGGACCAGGGAGG
This 858-nucleotide long non-coding RNA is filed under the name Homo sapiens (human). Its description in RNAcentral is "PREDICTED lncRNA (TCONS_00212581)". The record is from RNAcentral. Lineage: Eukaryota; Metazoa; Chordata; Mammalia; Primates; Hominidae.